RNAcentral lists this ribosomal RNA (783 nucleotides) under Triticum aestivum (bread wheat). RNAcentral's name for it is "partial small subunit ribosomal RNA". Lineage: Eukaryota; Viridiplantae; Streptophyta; Magnoliopsida; Poales; Poaceae. The record is from RNAcentral.
AUGAUGAAUUGGAUCCAGCACAUGGUGUGCACCAUAGGCACCUGUAGUGGUUGGCGUCAAGGGUGGUACAGCUCAAGCUUCCCCCUACUGCGCACCUCGCCGCCGGUGCUCAUUGAUGACAAGUUGUACUUGUUGGCCUACGGUCGUAGAAGCCCGACCGAGAAACUUGGCGCGAUUUUGAUGGUCGACGUGGCGACCGAGGAGCACCACAUCCACCCUCUCCCGGUUAAGAACAAUGAGGGAUACAGGCACUACGAUCCGCAGGUAAUCGCCUUCGAGAUGAGCGGGCGGCUGUGCCUCGCCGCGAACGUCCUCCGCCCUUCCCAGAAGCUCCAGUUCUGGGUUAUGUCGCCACCAUCGCAGGUCCAGUGGCUGCAACCGCAGGACCUGUGGGCUGAGUUCGACGACAGCAAGCUCUGCUGGGAUCUGCACUACAGCUUCCACAUCCACGAACAGCAGUGGGGGCGCACCCCGACGGGCGCCUGGUUUGAUGAUGUCGAGAAGACGUUGUGCUACAGGAGCGGGGAUGCAUUGUUCAUGAACGACACGAGGGGACGCUCGCCGGAGCCGUCUCUGGAUGCUGAUUGUCCUCCAUGCGACCGUCGACUCGAGCUGCCACCAAUGCCGUUGGGUUUGAACUGCAAAUGGAACGUUUUCGGUGGUUAUCGGCCCAGCCUGCUCUCACCUCUCACCUUCGCAUCGCCACAAUCGCCUUCAUGUGCCGAAGCAGAAAGACAACAAUUUGAGCAUAAAUUGUCGCUUACAUUGUGUGGACACGAGUGA